AAAAAAGGUAAGCUACUAAGAGCGAAUGGUGGAUGCCUUGACUGGUAAAGGCGAUGAAGGACGUACUAGACUGCGAUAAGCUACGGGGAGCUGUCAAGAAGCUUUGAUCCGUAGAUUUCCGAAUGGGGCAACCCAAUGUAUAGAGAUAUACAUUACCUAUAUAGGAGCGAACGAGGGGAAUUGAAACAUCUUAGUACCCUCAGGAAAAGAAAUCAAUAGAGAUUGCGUCAGUAGCGGCGAGCGAAAGCGCAAGAGGGCAAACCCAGUGCUUGCACUGGGGGUUGUAGGACUGCAAUGUGCAAGAGCUGAGUUUAGCAGAACAUUCUGGAAAGUAUAGCCAUAGAGGGUGAUAGUCCCGUAUGCGAAAAACAAAGCUUAGCUAGCAGUAUCCUGAGUAGGGCGGGACACGAGGAAUCCUGUCUGAAUCCGGGUCGACCACGAUCCAACCCUAAAUACUAAUACCAGAUCGAUAGUGCACAAGUACCGUGAGGGAAAGGUGAAAAGAACUGAGGUGAUCAGAGUGAAAUAGAACCUGAAACCAUUUGCUUACAAUCAUUCAGAGCACUAUGUAGCAAUACAGUGUGAUGGACUGCCUUUUGCAUAAUGAGCCUGCGAGUUGUGGUGUCUGGCAAGGUUAAGCAAACGCGAAGCCGUAGCGAAAGCGAGUCUGAAUAGGGCGCUUAGUCAGAUGCUGCAGACCCGAAACGAAGUGAUCUAUCCAUGAGCAAGUUGAAGCUAGUGUAAGAACUAGUGGAGGACUGAACCCAUAGGCGUUGAAAAGCCCCGGGAUGACUUGUGGAUAGGGGUGAAAGGCCAAUCAAACUUCGUGAUAGCUGGUUCUCUCCGAAAUAUAUUUAGGUAUAGCGUUGUGUCGUAAUAUAAGGGGGUAGAGCACUGAAUGGGCUAGGGCAUACACCAAUGUACCAAACCCUAUCAAACUCCGAAUACCUUAUAUGUAAUCACAGCAGUCAGGCGGCGAGUGAUAAAAUCCGUCGUCAAGAGGGAAACAACCCAGACUACCAGCUAAGGUCCCUAAGUCUUACUUAAGUGGAAAACGAUGUGAAGUUACUUAAACAACCAGGAGGUUGGCUUAGAAGCAGCCAUCCUUUAAAGAAAGCGUAAUAGCUCACUGGUCUAGUGAUUUUGCGCGGAAAAUAUAACGGGGCUAAAGUAAGUACCGAAGCUGUAGACUUAG
RNAcentral lists this ribosomal RNA (1195 nucleotides) under Campylobacter jejuni. Its description in RNAcentral is "partial 23S ribosomal RNA". It matches the Rfam family "Bacterial large subunit ribosomal RNA", at positions 1 to 1211 of the family's 2925-position model. The record is from RNAcentral. Lineage: Bacteria; Pseudomonadati; Campylobacterota; Epsilonproteobacteria; Campylobacterales; Campylobacteraceae.